Molecule: ribosomal RNA, 177 nt
Filed under: uncultured bacterium
Lineage: Bacteria
Description: partial 16S ribosomal RNA
Rfam family: Bacterial small subunit ribosomal RNA
Source: RNAcentral
CCUACGGGAGGCAGCAGUGGGGAAUUUUGGACAAUGGGCGCAAGCCUGAUCCAGCAAUGCCGUGUGAGUGAAGAAGGCCUUCGGGUUGUAAAGCUCUUUUGUCAGGGAAGAAACGGUGAAGGCUAAUACCCUUUGCUAAUGACGGUACCUGAAGAAUAAGCACCGGCUAACUACGUG